This 937-nucleotide long non-coding RNA is filed under the name Olea europaea subsp. europaea. Lineage: Eukaryota; Viridiplantae; Streptophyta; Magnoliopsida; Lamiales; Oleaceae. The record is from RNAcentral.
AAUUAAGCUGAUAUUUAGUUUUCAUUUCUCUAAAAACUUAUUGUCAAUUACAAAUUCUCAUAUAAAUUAAUCAAAAAUACAAUUUGUCCAUAAAUGGACCUCAAACAACAACAAAAAUUUCGCAAAUUACACAAGCUAAUUUUCUUAAUAUAUCAUUUGAAAUUAAAUUUAAACACACAAAUUAAAGGAUUUUAUGACUCAAAAUUAGGGGUGGGUUGGGAGGCCCGCUCAAGCGAGUUCUGCAAAGUAAGCAGCGUCAACGCUCGGCCAGCCUAUAACCCCUCCAUAAAUUCUUGCACCAUUUCUUUGAGUAAUCGGUGCUGCGGUCAGCUCUCACCGCCCGCUUUGUUUUCCUUACUCAUUAGUUUAAGGCAGUUUUUAAAAGUACACCCCUUCAAUACUUAUGAUCUAUUCUUUCACUAGGAUAUUCACGAUUUUUCGAUGUGGGAUGUUCAUCGCAGAAUUCCCUCGAAAUCCACAUUUGAUUUGAUUCUCUUUCUGUCACUUCUUCGUUUCGUUGCGUUGUUAAUGAUAAUAGAGGGAAGAGUCUAUGCAGAUUUUCCGGUGAAAUUAGCAUCAGCGAUAUUGAUUCUUAUGGUAAACCUCAAUUAGGGUUAAGGAGAAGGGUGUACAAGAUGGCACGCCAAAAGGGUAUAUUUGGGGGGGAAAUGCCCGGCGGGUGAUGAUGCACCUCUCCAUUGCUGCUUAUGAGGAUUUGCGUAUGAACUUUGCUAUUUUUUGAGAAGGUUAGCAGUUAACUUGAAAUAUUUUCACUGAUUGAGCCUCAUCAGUGUCUAAUAUCUGUUUCUUUGGUUUCUUUUUUCACUUAAUGAACAUAUAUUUUGCUGUGUAGAGAUGCAUUAGUAUUACUUCCUCAUUUUCACGGCUUAAAAACUGUUCGUUUUCUUUUCUUUUAAAGAUUCGUGCAAGACAUCCU